RNAcentral lists this ribosomal RNA (212 nucleotides) under Vibrio parahaemolyticus. RNAcentral describes it as "partial 16S ribosomal RNA". It matches the Rfam family "Bacterial small subunit ribosomal RNA", at positions 1 to 210 of the family's 1533-position model. The record is from RNAcentral. Lineage: Bacteria; Pseudomonadati; Pseudomonadota; Gammaproteobacteria; Vibrionales; Vibrionaceae.
AAAUUGAAGAGUUUGAUCAUGGCUCAGAUUGAACGCUGGCGGCAGGCCUAACACAUGCAAGUCGAGCGGAAACGAGUUAUCAGAACCUUCGGGGGACGAUAGCGGCGUCGAGCGGCGGACGGGUGAGUAAUGCCUAGGAAAUUGCCCUGAUGUGGGGGAUAACCAUUGGAAACGAUGGCUAAUACCGCAUGAUGCCUACGGGCCAAAGAGGG